AGUUUACUUGUCAUGUUUUGAAGGCUUUUUCUAGUCGGUCUCGCACAGAUGUUAUGUACACUGAUUUAAGCAGAGUGUUUGAUAAGGUUAAUCAUAACUUAAGCUCUUAUCUGAACAAUAGAUCUUUCAGGGUUUUGUUAACCUUCAUCACCUCGGCUAGCCGUUAGGUAUGCGAAAGAGUAGAAAGAGAGAAAAAUCAUGCGAAGAAAUUUGGUGGUGGGUUUUGGUGUGUUUGGCUGAUUGUUAGAGAGUCGAGUGGUAGCUGCCCAAGCAAACGGUCGCUUUUAUUUGCCUAUUGUACAAAGAAGAUAUAAAAAAACAAUUAAGGAAACGCAUAUUUUAUUUAAAGAUUUGAUUAACCCGGUUGCAUAUUAGGCUCUUUUUUUUUGUAAGAAACGCGUCCUGAAUUUUUUUUUUGUUAAGAAAAUUGAAAACUUGAGAUUUUGUAUAAAAAGUUCAGAUAAAAAAUCACGUUCAAAAAAAACUAAGGAAAGGAUUCAUGAAAGAAAAAAAAAAGGAAAUAAGCUUUGACAUGUGCUUAAGUUGAUUUAAAACAAAAUUAUUCACAAAAAAAGAUGGGAAAAGAAAGGAAAAAAAAAGGAAGCAAAAUUCUACUUUAACCAUUUAAAUAAUUCUUAAAAAAAAAAAAAAAAAUAUGAAUACAAACAUUAGUUUAUUGGUAUAGUUUUGUAUUAUGAGUUCGAUUAUUGUACUUAUUAAGAAAAGAAAGAAAAAAUGUUUUAUUUGCAAGUUUUUUCCUGACAAAUUGAUAAUAUCUUGCGGACUAAAGUGAAAUUCUGUAUAAAAAAAGGAGAAAUAAGUAAAUAAGCGACAACAAAGUUAAAAAAAAAGGAAAAAGGGCAUACCAAUCAUCAAGCCAAACUUGAAAAGAAAAUUAAGCUACGGCAGAUGAAGGUAAAACCUUUUCCAAUACAGAAAACCUUCGUAUUAGCAUUUGCGUUGAUUUGCAAAAAUAAAGAACAGGAGAAAAAUUGCAUGUGACAGAUUUACGAAAAGAAAUUUUUAUUAAAUUAAAUUGAGAAUUUAACUACGGAUAAGAAGUGUAAUUUACUGUAAUAAAGUUAUGAUUUAUAUACGAAUGUAUUGUUAUACAGGUCAAGGCAAAUGUCAAUGUCGUUAAAAUCGCAAAAUAUAUGUGAAAAAAAGAAGACUUUUUUUCUGGCAAAAUCUUGAGGUUUCGCUUUAAUUAAAGCGAGUAGGAAAGCAUCAAAAUAUGGCUAGUGAAACGGUGAACGUACCAGCCUAAGGAAGUCUACUAUUAACGUGUGGUGUUCGGUAAGGCGGCUGAGCAAAUUAGUUCCUACUAACAUUGCUGCCGGACCUGCCGCCUGCCUUGCCUAGAAGAGGCGAUGAUCUUGUAUGUACUGCGCCCACAUCGGCUAUUGUGGAACAUUAGCACCUGGAGCAGCCAGCGUGUGUCUGCCACGAGGAUGCCACCUCUCUACCUGGCCCUUCAUCAUCUCAACGGUCAGCGCGCCAGCUCAAAUAAUUUAAUCGCGCUACCGAAAGGUGAGCUAGGGCCGUGACACACCUUGAGAUCGAUGCUAACACUGGGCAAAUUCGUCUACAGCCACGUACGUAGAGUUUUAUUAUAUACCCAGAGAUAUAUGACAGUUUGCGCCGGAAUUCUGUUUAAGAGGCUAAGUAAAAUUUAAAAAAUAUUCUAAUCACAAUUACCAUUGGACGCUUCUUUUAUAUGGUUAAUCACAUAACAACUUUCUUAAACGUGACGUUGCUCGAUAUUAACGAUCAUGAACAGCAAAGGCCGGAUAAGCUACAAUUCUCGUGCAGAAAUGUUUCGAGAAGGCAAAUAUUGCUUUGAGAUGAUCCAGCUAAUAAGAAUCGUUUACGAACUUCUCUGCAUCUGUUAUAGGCCAGGCAACACAAUUAUUUAGCUAAAGGCUUACAAGAUAAAUAUCUGACGUGGAAUGAUGAGACCGUUUUUUAAGAAAGUCUUAGAAUACUUGGAGCUCAAAUAGGUCAUAUAUUUAAUAAUAAAUUUUUGUCUGCGCUUUUGAAACGAAAAUUGACUGCUAAGAAAGGAUUACUUCCUCAAAAUGACAAUUUAGAUGCGUCUGAUAUAUGCCGUAAUCGACAACCAGAGACCCGAACGCAACGAUGCCUUCUUAUUAUCGUACUCACAAUAACAUCUUGGAAAAUGUUUUCAGUUACAAAGUCUUAGAAGUUAUUUUUGAUUCAAAACUCAAGUUUGACAGUCAUACUGAAGUAUCCGUUGAUGAAAUUGAAUCAUUUUUAGGGUUUAUAAAAAGAUGGUCUAAAGAAUUUAAAGAAGUGCUUGUAUACUUGUUUAAUUAGACCAACUGUUGAAUUCUCGUCGUCGAUGGUUUGGCUUCCUAGUUGUAGAUGCCAUAUUGAUUUCUUGGAGUCUGUUCAACGGGAGUUCUUGAUGUUUGCCUUGUGAGGUUUGGGGUGGGAUCCAGCCCACUUCUUCCACUGUAUAAGAAUAAAUCAUUGAUUUGCCUUCCCUUGAAAAAAGGAACAAAUGGUGGGUUAAACCUUCCUUUGUAAGCUAAACAAAGUUAAUGUUUGCUGGCUUUAGAAGAACUUAUUAAUAUUAAUAUCCCUAGUAAGAUAUGAAAACGUAUUGUGCUAUAGAACAACUACAGCCACCCCGAUGCUGUACAGUUGUUCAAUCCGUUUCGGGUAAUGUGUCAAAUGUUGAACGAUCACUACCAUUUACUUGAUCUGUCGGUUUACUGUUAAGUCGUUGAGUCUUUCAUAUAUAAAGGUAAAUUGAAUCAAAAUACACCUUUAUAUUUGUUUCUUUCGUAUUUGUUACUAUUAAUAAUGUAUAAAUAAACUCAUAUUCAUUCAUCAAUACACAUCAAUAUAUAUCAUCAAUAUAUAUCUUAAUUUAGGAUUUAGACGAAUUUUGUUGUACAUUAUACCUUGAUCUCAUGCUUAUUUUUAGUUUUUUUUUUUUCUUUAUAUUACAUUUUAAAUUAUUUUACAGCUUAAGGUAAGGACUUGGUCCGUAGCGGGAUUCAGUUAAUGAAAUAAAUAAAUAAAAUUUUUGGAAA
This is a long non-coding RNA of Glossina fuscipes, 3062 nucleotides long. RefSeq lists it as uncharacterized. The transcript is spliced from 2 exons. Lineage: Eukaryota; Metazoa; Arthropoda; Insecta; Diptera; Glossinidae. The record is from RefSeq and is a predicted model, not a curated record.